CCUACGGGGCGCAGCAGUGGGGAAUAUUGGACAAUGGGGGGAACCCUGAUCCAGCGACGCCGCGUGAGUGAAGAAGUAUUUCGGUAUGUAAAGCUCUAUCAGCAGGGAAGAAAGAAAUGACGGUACCUGACUAAGAAGCCCCGGCUAACUACGUGCCAGCAGCCGCGGUAAUACGUAGGGGGCAAGCGUUAUCCGGAUUUACUGGGUGUAAAGGGAGCGUAGACGGCGAUGCAAGUCUGAAGUGAAAGGCGGGGGCGCAACCCCCGGACUGCUUUGGAAACUGUAUGGCUGGAGUGCAGGAGAGGUAAGUGGAAUUCCUAGUGUAGCGGUGAAAUGCGUAGAUAUUAGGAGGAACACCAGUGGCGAAGGCGGCUUACUGGACUGUAACUGACGUUGAGGCUCGAAAGCGUGGGGAGCAAACAGGAUUAGAUACCCGUGUAGUC
This 443-nucleotide ribosomal RNA is filed under the name uncultured bacterium. Its description in RNAcentral is "partial 16S ribosomal RNA". It matches the Rfam family "Bacterial small subunit ribosomal RNA", at positions 338 to 795 of the family's 1533-position model. The record is from RNAcentral.